GAGGGUAUAGCCCAGUCGUAGAGCACAUGCUUAGCAUGCAGGAGGUCCUGGGUUCAAUCCCCAAUACCUCUA
This 72-nucleotide transfer RNA is filed under the name Camelus bactrianus (Bactrian camel). It matches the Rfam family "tRNA". From Rfam's summary of the family: Transfer RNA (tRNA) molecules are approximately 80 nucleotides in length. Their secondary structure includes four short double-helical elements and three loops (D, anti-codon, and T loops). Further hydrogen bonds mediate the characteristic L-shaped molecular structure. tRNAs have two regions of fundamental functional importance: the anti-codon, which is responsible for specific mRNA codon recognition, and the 3' end, to which the tRNAs corresponding amino acid is attached (by aminoacyl-tRNA synthetases). tRNAs cope with the degeneracy of the genetic code in two manners: having more than one tRNA (with a specific anti-codon) for a particular amino acid; and 'wobble' base-pairing, i.e. permitting non-standard base-pairing at the 3rd anti-codon position. RNAcentral also lists the same sequence under 2 other names. The record is from Rfam by way of RNAcentral. Lineage: Eukaryota; Metazoa; Chordata; Mammalia; Artiodactyla; Camelidae.